Molecule: ribosomal RNA, 492 nt
Filed under: uncultured bacterium
Lineage: Bacteria
Description: partial 16S ribosomal RNA
Rfam family: Bacterial small subunit ribosomal RNA
Source: RNAcentral
AGUGAACGCUGGCGGUAGGCCUAACACAUGCAAGUCGAACGGCAGCACAGUAAGAGCUUGCUCUUACGGGUGGCGAGUGGCGGACGGGUGAGGAAUACAUCGGAAUCUACUUUUUCGUGGGGGAUAACGUAGGGAAACUUACGCUAAUACCGCAUACGACCUACGGGUGAAUGCAGGGGAUCUUCGGACCUUGCGCGAUUGAAUGAGCCGAUGUCGGAUUAGCUAGUUGGCGGGGUAAAGGCCCACCAAGGCGACGAUCCGUAGCUGGUCUGAGAGGAUGAUCAGCCACACUGGAACUGAGACACGGUCCAGACUCCUACGGGAGGCAGCAGUGGGGAAUAUUGGACAAUGGGCGCAAGCCUGAUCCAGCCAUACCGCGUGAGUGAAGAAGGCCUUCGGGUUGUAAAGCCCUGUUGUUGGGAAAGAAAAGCAGCAGGUUAAUACCCCGCUGUUCUGACGGUACCCAAAGAAUAAGCACCGGCUAACUUCGUG